This 327-nucleotide ribosomal RNA is filed under the name uncultured Microgenomates group bacterium. Its description in RNAcentral is "bacterial SSU rRNA". It matches the Rfam family "Bacterial small subunit ribosomal RNA", at positions 28 to 351 of the family's 1533-position model. The record is from RNAcentral.
GAUGAAUGCUAGCGGCGUGCUUGAGAUAUGCAAGUCGAGCGCCCCGCUCAAUCCCCGCAAGGGGGCUGAACGGGAGCGGCGGACGGCUGAGUAAUAUACAGGAACCUGCCCCUAGGUAGAGAAUAGCCCCGAGAAAUCUGGGGUAAUGCUUUAUGGUCCCCGCCUUUGGCGGGGUAAAGGACAUAACUGUCCGCCAAGGGAUGGGCCUGUAUCCUAUCAGGUUGUUGGUAAGGUAAUGGCUUACCAAGCCUAUGACGGGUAGCUGAUCUAAGAGGAUGAUCAGCCAGAGGGGGACUGAGACACGGCCCCCACUCCUACGGGAGGCUG